RNAcentral lists this ribosomal RNA (253 nucleotides) under uncultured bacterium. RNAcentral's name for it is "partial 16S ribosomal RNA". It matches the Rfam family "Bacterial small subunit ribosomal RNA", at positions 524 to 776 of the family's 1533-position model. The record is from RNAcentral.
GACGUAGGGCGCGAGCGUUGUCCGGAUUUAUUGGGCGUAAAGAGCUCGUAGGCGGUCUGUCGCGUCGGCUGUGAAAUCCCGAGGCUCAACCUCGGGUCUGCAGUCGAUACGGGCAAACUAGAGUAUUGCAGGGGAGACUGGAAUUCCUGGUGUAGCGGUGAAAUGCGCAGAUAUCAGGAGGAACACCGGUGGCGAAGGCGGGUCUCUGGGCAAUAACUGACACUGAGGAGCGAAAGCGUGGGGAGCGAACAGG